CACCCGUCUCGGAUAUUUGGUAUUUUAAUUCACGUAUUUAAUUAAAUUAUGCGUCACGGGGUUAAAUUGCAUACAUUAGAAGCGUGAGGGCUUGUGUGUGAUUUGAGAAUUGGAGCAUGAUAGCAUGUGGUCUUGUUGGCACACAAUAAUCUUCCUUAGAGUUUAUCAAACUGGAGUACGUGUUCUAUUUUCUUUUCUUCGUUGAUACACGUAGAGAGAGAGAGAGAGAGAGGAACGGCAUGAGGAAGAAGAGAAGAAUAGGGGAAAACUUAGAGAAGAUUUAACUAGCCUUGAAUUGAAGUUUAAUUAGGUAACGAGCUGAGUAAUCGGGAGGUGCCAAAACCGUGAUUUGGCAUACUUUGGUCGACUCACAGGUGAGUAUGUUUGAUAUCUUAUAUCUUCAAUAAGAUAUUAACAUGUUGGUUGUGCAUCAUGCUAUGGUUGGUUUAGUUACUGGCGUGCAUGAUUGGUGUAUGUUGAUUGUACCCGUAUAAGGUUUGUGGAGUGAGUCACACCUUGUCGUGGGCCGUGCCAUUCUAUUUACGGUGAAUGGGAGCUUGGUGUGCGGGACACAAUACCUUGGGUACAUGGGAUGUGGCAGACGUGUCACUGCAUGUGUUGUGAACAUAAAUUGUAGUUGUUCAGUUAGUUGUUUAUGUUGAGUUUUAUUGGAUUUAUUCUAUAUCUUACACACUCCUGAUUUUCCUUUGGAUUGUCAGAUAGCAGGGGUUCGUAGGUUGGUCCACUACCGGUCGGCGUUUUGGAGUUGGCUUUGAGGAUGUUGAUUGUGUCGGUGGUAGUGAGUUGUCUUGUAUAUAUAAUCGACUCGUUUUGUAAAGGAUGUUUUGCACUUUAGUUUGCCAAGUAUGUAAAGUUAUGGGUAUAACGUCGACUCUUUUAAUAAUAUUAAUGUUAAGUCUUCCGCUGGUUUAUUCUGAAUUAA
Rhododendron vialii is the source of this 943-nucleotide long non-coding RNA. RefSeq lists it as uncharacterized. The record is from RefSeq and is a predicted model, not a curated record. The transcript is spliced from 2 exons. NCBI's taxonomy places the organism in Eukaryota, Viridiplantae, Streptophyta, Magnoliopsida, Ericales, Ericaceae.